GAAUGAUUGCAUCUAAAUUUGUACUUAUUAGCUUUUAAGAUCCGAGAAGUUGAAAUCGUACUUAGCCAGGUUUGUAGAAUUUGGGUGCCCCAUAGUGCAAAAUUGAUUAGAGUGUUUUGAUAAUGAUGCAUUGAUGGAAGUAAACACAUAAAUGACCUAAACCUAAUCAAAAGUCACUUCUAAAGUAGGAUUAGUUGAGCUAUGAAAAUCAAAGGUAGCUACACGUAUCUCACAACACGUUACAUAUGUCGAUACUAUCAUAAUAAUCAACCGUUGAUUAUUCUUCAACGUCUAAAAAAGCUUCCACAACUUGUAAUUUCUGCCAACAAAAGUCAUCGAAAUAAGUCCCCAACUUUUUUAUCAAUCUUGACCAAGAAUUGGCGUCCGUAAGAAAACUUAAUUCCUUUAUUCAAGGUACGACGACUUAAUAGCAUCAUAUUUAUUCUUCCUUACCUGAUAACGAAAGCUCAAGCUUUUUGUACCGGUUCUCUAAUUCUUCAGCUGAUUCUACAAGUCUGACCGCAAUCAUCCAAAACAACGAACGUCAAGGUCUACAUUGGAUAUGAGUUUCACUUGAGCUUUAACAUAGCAAGAGAAAUUCACACUUGGGACUCUGAUUUUACUGAUCAAUUUUGAAACUCUCAAACGAUGCAGAUCAUUAUCUUCAUAGUUCAUACCAAGAAAAUCAAAAUGUAGCUGGAAAGUGAAAUUGAACCACGCACUGGUUGAACAAAUUUCGAAACUUAGUGCCGAUUGUGUAAUUUCUAAUUUGGAUCAAU
RNA transcript from Arabidopsis thaliana (thale cress), 779 nucleotides. RefSeq lists it as uncharacterized. NCBI's taxonomy places the organism in Eukaryota, Viridiplantae, Streptophyta, Magnoliopsida, Brassicales, Brassicaceae. The record is from RefSeq. The transcript has a single exon.